Molecule: ribosomal RNA, 292 nt
Filed under: uncultured bacterium
Lineage: Bacteria
Description: partial 16S ribosomal RNA
Rfam family: Bacterial small subunit ribosomal RNA
Source: RNAcentral
GUGCCAGCCGCCGCGGUAAUACGAAGGUCCCAAGCGUUAUCCGGAUUUAUUGGGUUUAAAGGGUGCGUAGGCGGCUUAUUAAGUCAGUGGUGAAAGCUCCAUGCUUAACAUGGAAAUUGCCAUUGAUACUGAUGAGCUUGAGUAGAUUUGAAGUGGGCGGAAUGUGUCGUGUAGCGGUGAAAUGCUUAGAUAUGACACAGAACACCGAUUGCGUAGGCAGCUCACUAAACUCUUACUGACGCUGAGGCACGAAAGCAUGGGGAUCAAACAGGAUUAGAUACCCCAGUAGUCC